CCUACGGGGGGCUGCAGUGGGGAAUAUUGGACAAUGGGGGGAACCCUGAUCCAGCCAUGCCGCGUGUGUGAAGAAGACCCUCGGGUUGUAAAGCACUUUCAGUGAGGAAGAACGCCUGGUGGUUAAUACCCAUCAGGAAAGACAUCACUCACAGAAGAAGCACCGGCUAACUCCGUGCCAGCAGCCGCGGUAAUACGGAGGGUGCGAGCGUUAAUCGGAAUUACUGGGCGUAAAGCGCGCGUAGGUGGCUUGAUAAGCCGGUUGUGAAAGCCCCGGGCUCAACCUGGGAACGGCAUCCGGAACUGUCAAGCUAGAGUGCAGGAGAGGAAGGUAGAAUUCCCGGUGUAGCGGUGAAAUGCGUAGAGAUCGGGAGGAAUACCAGUGGCGAAGGCGGCCUUCUGGACUGACACUGACACUGAGGUGCGAAAGCGUGGGUAGCAAACAGGAUUAGAUACCCUAGUAGUC
Molecule: ribosomal RNA, 465 nt
Filed under: Vreelandella stevensii
Lineage: Bacteria; Pseudomonadati; Pseudomonadota; Gammaproteobacteria; Oceanospirillales; Halomonadaceae
Description: partial 16S ribosomal RNA
Rfam family: Bacterial small subunit ribosomal RNA
Source: RNAcentral